CUUGGGCACAGGUGGGAGGAAGGGCAUUGGCCGGCGUCAGAGCUCUGUGCAGAGGCCGGAGGAAGCUGCCUUGGGCGCCACACACUGCAGGCGCACUCGGCCAGGGCUCUCCUGGGUUUCUGCUCCUGAGAUCCCAGCCUCCUCCUCUCUCCGGGGGGCAUCACCUAGCACCCUCCCCCCGCCUUUCCACUGAGAUGCAGGCUUUGGUCCUGGGAGAGGACGGAGCCUCGGUUUCCGUGUGCAGCCUGGUGCACUUGGGUGCCUGGGAUGUGCGGGCUGCCCAUGGUGGUGCUCGGACCCUUCCCUUCCUGAGGGGCUUCCCCGGGCUUGCUCAGCCCUGUGGGGGCUUUGUCCACCCGCACUGCGUCACAGGGUGUGGGCAGACAUUGUUGAGGUAGAAGCAGCCAGACAGUAGCAUGUUUUCCAGAAUCCAACAAGAGAACCUGCGCAGGAGGAGGAGGAGAACACGCAGGGGCUCCAGGCAGUUGUGGUGUGGCUGGACGGAUCAAAAUGACGGCAGGACAAUCUACUCUGUCACUGCGGACAUUUCUGGCUCAUGGACACUUGCAGCAUGUUUUCAGGCCUUCCAAAAUUUGGAUCACACUUACGCGUACUGUUUUCUGGCUUGAUCUUAGAAAUGGAAUCUCUUGGGAGCAGAGCUCCAUGACCAC
Molecule: long non-coding RNA, 671 nt
Organism: Heterocephalus glaber (naked mole-rat)
Lineage: Eukaryota; Metazoa; Chordata; Mammalia; Rodentia; Bathyergidae
Source: Ensembl